UGAUGACCUUCGUCACCUUCGCUCGGCGGAAUGGGACCCGCCCGAGCAUAUAGCUAGUUAUCUAGUGCUGCGUGUGCGUACUCCCUUGUCCAAGGAGGGGCGCAGUAAGUUACGGGCCGAGUGCCCAAGGCCCCCAGUGCCUGACGCGGCAUGCAAGAUGUCAGAGGUUGACCCUCAGAUUUCCCAGUUCCUGGCAAAAACGGGCUGGAAACCCAGGAAGGGUUUGGAGUUUUCACUCCAUAAUUGCCAGGACAAGAUUUUGGACACUUUAGGUCCCGUUGCUAAGCUUUAUGAGCUAUUCGAGACGGCUAAG
Molecule: non-coding RNA, 313 nt
Organism: Pelobates cultripes (western spadefoot toad)
Lineage: Eukaryota; Metazoa; Chordata; Amphibia; Anura; Pelobatidae
Source: the annotation of a GenBank genome assembly